RNAcentral lists this long non-coding RNA (209 nucleotides) under Mytilus galloprovincialis (Mediterranean mussel). The record is from RNAcentral. Lineage: Eukaryota; Metazoa; Mollusca; Bivalvia; Mytilida; Mytilidae.
AUAUAAAAAAAGAAGAUGUGGUAUGAUUGCCAAUGAGACAACUGUCCACAAGAGACCAAAAUGACACAGACAUUAACAACUAUAGGUCACCGUACGGCCUUCAACAAUGAGCAAAGCCCAUACCGCAUAGUCAGCUACAAAAGGCCCAGAUAAGACAAUGUAAAACAAUUCAAACAAGAAAACUAACGGCCUUAUUUAUAUAAAAAAAA